GAUGAACGCUGGCGGCGUGCCUAAUACAUGCAAGUCGAGCGAACGGACGAGAAGCUUGCUUCUCUGAUGUUAGCGGCGGACGGGUGAGUAACACGUGGAUAACCUACCUAUAAGACUGGGAUAACUUCGGGAAACCGGAGCUAAUACCGGAUAAUAUUUUGAACCGCAUGGUUCAAAAGUGAAAGACGGUCUUGCUGUCACUUAUCGAUGGAUCCGCGCUGCAUUAGCUAGUUGGUACGGUAACGGGUUACCAAGGCAACGAUGCAUAGCCGACCUGGAAGGGGGAUAGGCCACACGAGAACUGAGACACGGUCCAGACUCCUACGGGAGGCAGCAGUAGGGAAUCGUCCGCAAUGGGCGAAAGCAUGACGGAGCAACGCCGCGUGAGUGAUGAAGGUCUUCGGAUCGUAAAACUCUGUUAUUAGGGAAGAACAUAUGUGUAAGUAACUGUGCACAUCUUGACGGUACCUAAUCAGAAAGCCACGGCUAACUACGUG
RNAcentral lists this ribosomal RNA (497 nucleotides) under uncultured bacterium. RNAcentral's name for it is "partial 16S ribosomal RNA". It matches the Rfam family "Bacterial small subunit ribosomal RNA", at positions 28 to 507 of the family's 1533-position model. The record is from RNAcentral.